AUUGAACGCUGGCGGCAGGCCUAACACAUGCAAGUCGAACGGUAACAGGAAGAAGCUUGCUUCUUUGCUGACGAGUGGCGGACGGGUGAGUAAUGUCCGGGAAACUGCCUGAUGGAGGGGGAUAACUACUGGAAACGGUAGCUAAUACCGCAUAACGUCGCAAGACCAAAGAGGGGGACCUUCGGGCCUCUUGCCAUCGGAUGUGCCCAGAUGGGAUUAGCUAGUAGGUGGGGUAACGGCUCACCUAGGCGACGAUCCCUAGCUGGUCUGAGAGGAUGACCAGCCACACUGGAACUGAGACACGGUCCAGACUCCUACGGGAGGCAGCAGUGGGGAAUAUUGCACAAUGGGCGCAAGCCUGAUGCAGCCAUGCCGCGUGUAUGAAGAAGGCCUUCGGGUUGUAAAGUACUUUCAGCGGGGAGGAAGGGAGUAAAGUUAAUACCUUUGCUCAUUGACGUUACCCGAAGAAGAAGCACCGGCUAACUCCGUG
Molecule: ribosomal RNA, 490 nt
Filed under: uncultured bacterium
Lineage: Bacteria
Description: partial 16S ribosomal RNA
Rfam family: Bacterial small subunit ribosomal RNA
Source: RNAcentral